This 446-nucleotide ribosomal RNA is filed under the name uncultured bacterium. Its description in RNAcentral is "partial 16S ribosomal RNA". It matches the Rfam family "Bacterial small subunit ribosomal RNA", at positions 338 to 795 of the family's 1533-position model. The record is from RNAcentral.
CCUACGGGAGGCAGCAGUCGAGAAUCAUUCACAAUGGGGGAAACCCUGAUGGUGCGACGCCGCGUGGGGGAAUGAAGGUCUUCGGAUUGUAAACUCCUGUCAUGUGGGAGCAAAUUAAAAAGAUAGUACCACAAGAGGAAGAGACGGCUAAUUCGGUGCCAGCAGCAGCGGUAAUACAGAGGUCUCAAGCGUUGUUCGGAAUCACUGGGCUUAAAGCGUGCGUAGGCUGUUUCGUAAGUCGUGUGUGAAAGGUGCGGGCUCAACCCGCGGGCGGCACAUGAUACUGCGGGACUAGAGUAAUGGAGGAGGAACCGGAAUGCUCGGUGUAGCAGUGAAAUGCGUAGAUAUCGAGAGGAACACUCGUGGCGAAGGCGGGUUGCUGGACAUUAACUGACGCUGAGGCACGAAGGCCAGGGGAGCGAAAGGGAUUAGAUACCCGGGUAGUC